Molecule: long non-coding RNA, 674 nt
Filed under: Sorghum bicolor (sorghum)
Lineage: Eukaryota; Viridiplantae; Streptophyta; Magnoliopsida; Poales; Poaceae
Description: long non-coding RNA (SBIC_LNC003557)
Source: RNAcentral
AUGGAAACCGUCGAGCGGCCUUAAUCCCGUUAUAUACUCCAUCCGUCUCAUAAAUAAAUACAAUUCAAAUCUGGACAUAAUGUUUUUUUGACGGAGAGUAUACAGGGACAACACAUUUUCUUUUGACUUUGGAAUUUUGGAUUUCUUUUAAAUUUUUUCUUUUUUCUUGCACCAACACGUACGUACUGUUCUUUGUCUUUGUACAGCGUAAACUCGACGGCACUGCAUUUGGUUUGGGGCUCCAACCUGACUAGUGUGGUGAAGGCGUUCACGCAACGCAGGUACUGCCUUCGACAGUUCCACACAUGAGGAUACAACAUGGUGAAAGUCAGAUUUGUUUACUGCAAACGGUGAAAAAAGGUCUUAGUGGAUGAUGCCGACCUCGCGCAGACAAUCAAUUGGCUUAAGAUUAUCUAUCGAAUAUAUCAAUUAUUCAGCGGUGUUUUUUUCUCACAAAGCUAUAACUUUUUAACCAAGCGAGAAACGUCUGGUUGGGUGCCAACAUCAGAGGGAAAGCAAAAGUCAAGUUGAAGAUCGAUCGCGCGGCCGGGCAGUCAUAUUUUAUGAUAACCACAUCUGGAGUGGGACGUCGUUGAAACCGAACCAUAACCAUCUGGACAGGGAGGAGGAUACGCAAAAUCCAUCUUCGAGUAAAAAGACAAACGUCAUGGGUG